RNAcentral lists this ribosomal RNA (107 nucleotides) under Candidatus Magasanikiibacteriota bacterium. The record is from RNAcentral. Lineage: Bacteria; Candidatus Magasanikiibacteriota.
CUUGGUGGUAUAUGCCGCGGGGGUACACCUGUUCCCAUCCCGAACACAGCAGUUAAGCCCGCAAGCGCCGAUGGUAGUCGCAAGGCAAGAGUAGGUAACCGCCAAGA